GGCCUCGUGGCUAAGUUGGUUAAAGCGCCUGUCUAGUAAACAGGAGAUCACGAGUUCGAAUCUCGUCGAGGCCU
Molecule: non-coding RNA, 74 nt
Filed under: Teleopsis dalmanni
Lineage: Eukaryota; Metazoa; Arthropoda; Insecta; Diptera; Diopsidae
Description: tRNA-Thr
Rfam family: tRNA
About the family: Transfer RNA (tRNA) molecules are approximately 80 nucleotides in length.
Source: RNAcentral